Molecule: long non-coding RNA, 785 nt
Filed under: Triticum aestivum (bread wheat)
Lineage: Eukaryota; Viridiplantae; Streptophyta; Magnoliopsida; Poales; Poaceae
Description: long non-coding RNA (TAES_LNC020522)
Source: RNAcentral
ACUCGCAGGCCAUUUGCGACCUCAUCUAUUCCCUCUUUGUCGCCGAGGAGGUCGACAAGGUGGAGCUCGUCUACUCCAAGUUCGUCAACCUCGUCCGCUCCGACCCCAUCAUCCAGACGCUGCUGCCCAUGUCCCCUAAGGGCGAGAUCUGCGAUGUCAACGGCAUCUGUGUCGACGCCACCGAGGACGAGCUCUUCAAGCUCACCACCAAGGAAGGCAAGCUCACCGUGGAGCGCGAGAAGAUCAAGAUCGAGAUGCAGCCCUUCUCCCCCGUCGUCCAGUUCGAGCAGGACCCCGUCCAGAUCCUCGACGCUCUCCUCCCGCUCUACCUCAACAGCCAGAUCCUGCGUGCCCUCCAGGAGUCGCUCGCUAGCGAGCUCGCCGCCAGGAUGAGCGCCAUGAGCAGCGCCACAGACAAUGCCAUCGACCUCCGGAAAAAUCUCUCCAUGGUCUACAACCGCCGACGCCAGGCCAAGAUCACCGGAGAGAUCCUUGAGAUCGUCGCUGGCGCCGACGCCCUGUCCGGCUGAUUCCUCCUCCCCACUUGAGCUGAGCCGCCGCUGUUAUAUAUAACUCUUUGCCUCCUUUUCUCCUCUCUUCUACUUAUCUUGCUUGGUCUGUGUCUGUCUGUAAUAAUUUCUCAUAGCACAAAAAAGGAUGUCUGUUCUAAGAUUCAGUUCGGAGAUGCCAAAUGUAUAAUCCAGAGUAAUUUAUCUAUGCAAUCCCGCCUCCACCCAUAUGCAAUUUGUUUAUGCAACCCAGAGUAAUCCCAUAUGCAGUUUCUU